UGGGGAAUUUUGGACAAUGGGGGAAACCCUGAUCCAGCCAUCCCGCGUGUGCGAUGAAGGCCUUCGGGUUGUAAAGCACUUUUGGCAGGAAAGAAACGUCGCGGGUUAAUACCCCGCGGAACUGACGGUACCUGCAGAAUAAGCACCGGCUAACUACGUGCCAGCAGCCGCGGUAAUACGUAGGGUGCAAGCGUUAAUCGGAAUUACUGGGCGUAAAGCGUGCGCAGGCGGUUCGGAAAGAAAGAUGUGAAAUCCCAGAGCUUAACUUUGGAACUGCAUUUUUAACUACCGGGCUAGAGUGUGUCAGAGGGAGGUGGAAUUCCGCGUGUAGCAGUGAAAUGCGUAGAUAUGCGGAGGAACACCGAUGGCGAAGGCAGCCUCCUGGGAUAACACUGACGCUCAUGCACGAAAGCGUGGGGAGCAAACAGGAUUAGAUACCCUGGUAGUCCACGCCCUAAACGAUGUCAACUAGCUGUUGGGGUCUUCGGACCUUGGUAGCGCAGCUAACGCGUGAAGUUGACCGCCUGGGGAGUACGGUCGCAAGAUUAAAACUCAAAUGAAUUGAC
Molecule: ribosomal RNA, 566 nt
Filed under: uncultured bacterium
Lineage: Bacteria
Description: partial 16S ribosomal RNA
Rfam family: Bacterial small subunit ribosomal RNA
Source: RNAcentral